UCCCCUAUAGCUCAGCGGUAGAGCAGGUGGCUGUUAACCACUUGGCCGGAGGUUCAAGUCCUUCUGGGGGAG
Molecule: transfer RNA, 72 nt
Filed under: Borrelia recurrentis
Lineage: Bacteria; Pseudomonadati; Spirochaetota; Spirochaetia; Spirochaetales; Borreliaceae
Also listed under: 3 other names
Description: tRNA-Asn
Rfam family: tRNA
About the family: Transfer RNA (tRNA) molecules are approximately 80 nucleotides in length.
Source: RNAcentral